GUAAUUCGUAAGCAGCUCCGUCGCGUGGGACAGGCAGCCCCUCGCGCGGCUGCUCUGUGGGCAUGUCAGCCAUGUUUUCCAGUGACGCGGGUAAUUAAUUGGUUUGAAGAAAGGGUGUUUUAAAUCCGGUUAAGCUCGACCGAGGAUGGCUACUUUGACUGGGUUCCCGGUCAGUGAUUUCGACCUAUGUUGAUGAUACCUAGUCUUGCGAUUGUCAGUCGCGUUUCGGCGGGAUUAAAUGUUUCCUUCAAGUCUUACGCCGAAAACGAUGCAGCGUUCCGAGCCCGAUCGCUAGACGCCGCCAAACCUCUCCCCGUGUACCGGAAUAGAGAGCUCCCGGAAAGCAACCACUGCCUCUCCAUCAGCCUGGCCUUUCCGCAGAUGCUCACGGAUGGAAAGAGAACAGGAAUUGCCUCUCAUCCGUGCAGCCCGUCUGUCAUGCACCGCGGAUGGUCGGGAGGUAGUGAGGAGAUGUCAGCCCUGGACUGAGGUUCAAAAAUUACUUCGCUCCUGGAGUUAGAUGCAGUCAGGGAAAACCAUCCGCAGAGAGCUCUAUUGGCCCAGCAGGUCUUCAGGCAGAUGAAGGAAAGGUCAUCCCGCUGCCUGAGGUUGAGGGAACCAUCAGCUACCAUGACUGCCUGUACAAGGGAGAGUUUCAGAUCCCCAAGCAGCUUAUCCAUAACCAUAGGUGUCCUUUCAGCUUUCGGACUGGAGAGCGAGCAGCCGGACUACGACAUGGACUCUGAGGAUGGGGUGGUCCUCAACCCAGUGAAAUGGAAGAUGGCGAUGAAGAAAAGGAGGAAGUAGGCCACACGAGAGCUGCUGCACCUGACCCUGGAGGUGGUGGAGAAGAGGGGGGAGCCUGCAGUGGUCUGGGAGUGAGCACAAGCACGAGAUGUGGAGCCUCAGAGCAGUUUCAGAACUGAAGUUCUCACUUAACGCUGGAGAAACGUGGGCAGCUGAGCCUGCAGCGCCAUCUGGUGUCGGGCUCCAGUACGUCUUCGAUGUGGGGGAGCAACAGCGCCUGAGCGUUACGGCUAACUUCCCCUCUGACUUUCUGGGGGGAACAAGCAGCAUUACAGAGGAGCAGUUCCAGACAUCAUUGGCAGGUGGCCCGGAUGAGCCAGCAGAGUCGGCCUACCCAGAAUUCCACGUGGGCAGAGCUGCGUGAUGCCCAGGUACCUGGCAUCCCACGAAGCUCCCACAUGCAGCUGCAGUUCAGCCCAUUUGUUCAGUACUGAGUGUGCUCUGCCCUCUCGGGGAGAUGGAAAUACUCGGCUACACUCAUUUAAGCCAAGCAUGGGAGCACAGAAGACAGGAGAGUAUUGUAAAGUCCUCACCGUCCUCAUUGGAGAACAUAUAUAGCUCUUGAUGUAUGAGGAGACACCAGCAUCAUAAGACUCCUCACAUCAUGGUCAGUACCUGUUUGACCUCUUCCCUACUGGCUGGUAUAAGAAAUCGAUUAAGAUACAAACCACUAGAUUUAAAAAUUUUCUUUCCAAUGGCUAUAUGUGAAUUGAACUCUGUACCCACUCUCAUCCAUUACUCUAAUCUGUGUCUGUGACAAUGCAGUGUUUAUAAUAUCCUAAAGUGCAAUAUUUACUGUAUGGUUCAGACCUUGUGCUGCUAUAGAUUAAUAUCUUACAUACCCACAUGUCCCUAUUAAGUUGCUAUAUUUUAUUUAUUUUUAGAUCUUUUUGUGUUUAUUGCAAGUUGCUGCUGUGAUUGAAUUUGCUCUGAUGAGGAAUAGCACUUUUUACAUACAGUAUCAUUGUAUGAUGUGCAAGGACAAUAAAGGCUGUUCUAUGUCA
Paramormyrops kingsleyae is the source of this 1811-nucleotide non-coding RNA. Lineage: Eukaryota; Metazoa; Chordata; Actinopteri; Osteoglossiformes; Mormyridae. The record is from RefSeq and is a predicted model, not a curated record.